CCUACGGGUGGCAGCAGUGAGGAAUAUUGGUCAAUGGCCGGAAGGCUGAACCAGCCAAGUCGCGUGAGGGAAUAAGGCCCUAUGGGUCGUAAACCUCUUUUGUCAGGGAGCAAAGGCGUCCACGUGUGGACGAGAGGAGAGUACCUGAAGAAAAAGCAUCGGCUAACUCCGUGCCAGCAGCCGCGGUAAUACGGAGGAUCCGAGCGUUAUCCGGAUUUAUUGGGUUUAAAGGGAGCGUAGGUGGAUUGUUAAGUCAGUUGUGAAAGUUUGCGGCUCAACCGUAAAAUUGCAGUUGAAACUGGCAGUCUUGAGUACAGUAGAGGUGGGCGGAAUUCGUGGUGUAGCGGUGAAAUGCUUAGAUAUCACGAAGAACUCCGAUUGCGAAGGCAGCUCACUGGACUGCAACUGACACUGAGGCUCGAAAGUGUGGGUAUCAAACAGGAUUAGAUACCCGAGUAGUC
RNAcentral lists this ribosomal RNA (461 nucleotides) under uncultured bacterium. RNAcentral describes it as "partial 16S ribosomal RNA". It matches the Rfam family "Bacterial small subunit ribosomal RNA", at positions 338 to 795 of the family's 1533-position model. The record is from RNAcentral.